GUCUUUAGCCAUUCCACCCUGAACAGGCCCGAUCCCGUCCGAUCUCAGAAGCUAAGCAGGGGCGGGCCUGGUUAGUACUUGGAUGGGAGACCACCUAGGAGGGCCAGGUGCUGUAGGCG
Pteropus alecto (black flying fox) is the source of this 119-nucleotide non-coding RNA. The record is from Rfam. Lineage: Eukaryota; Metazoa; Chordata; Mammalia; Chiroptera; Pteropodidae.